This 104-nucleotide ribosomal RNA is filed under the name uncultured bacterium. RNAcentral describes it as "partial 16S ribosomal RNA". It matches the Rfam family "Bacterial small subunit ribosomal RNA", at positions 1379 to 1482 of the family's 1533-position model. The record is from RNAcentral.
CCUUGUACACACCGCCCGUCACACCAUGGGAGUUGGCUUUACCUGAAGGCGGUGCGCCAACCGCAAGGGGGCAGCCGACCACGGUAGGGUCAGCGACUGGGGUG